CGGGGUGGAGUAACGCGUGGGUAACCGUGCCUCAUACAGGGGGAUAACAGUUGGAAACGACUGCUAAUACCGCAUAAGCGCACAGGAUCGCAUGAUCCGGUGCGAAAAACUCCGGUGGUAUGGGAUGGACCCGCGUCUGAUUAGCCAGUUGGCAGGGUAACGGCCUACCAAAGCGACGAUCAGUAGCCGACCUGAGAGGGUGACCGGCCACAUUGGGACUGAGACACGGCCCAA
Molecule: ribosomal RNA, 234 nt
Filed under: uncultured bacterium
Lineage: Bacteria
Description: partial 16S ribosomal RNA
Rfam family: Bacterial small subunit ribosomal RNA
Source: RNAcentral